This 863-nucleotide ribosomal RNA is filed under the name uncultured archaeon. RNAcentral's name for it is "bacterial SSU rRNA". It matches the Rfam family "Archaeal small subunit ribosomal RNA", at positions 474 to 1337 of the family's 1478-position model. The record is from RNAcentral.
UACCCGCGGCCCGAGUUGUGACCAUUAUUAUUGAGUCUAAAGCGUUCGUAGCUGGUUUGGAUAGUUUGUGCUUAAAUCUUUUCGUUUAACGAAAAGGCAUGGUAUAAAUACUUCCAGACUAGAGGCCGGGAGGGGAGAUGGGAACUUUUCGGGUAGGAGUAAAAUCCUUUAAUCCGAAAAAGACCACCAAUAGCGAAGGCACAUCUCCAGAACGGACCUGACGGUGAGGGACGAAGGCUAGGAGAACAAACCGGAUCAGAUACCCGGGUAGCCCUAGCAGUAAACGCUGCUUACUAUACGUUGCAUUUUCUUGAGAAAAUGCGGUGUGACAGCGAAGGCGUUAAGUAAGCCACUUGGGGAGUAUAAUCGCAAGGUCGAAACUUAAAGGAAUUGGCGGGGGAGCACAAAAACGGGUGAAGUUUGCGGUUUAAUUGGAUUCAACUCCGGGAAUCUUACCAGAAGCGACAGCAAUAUGAAGGCCAGUCUGAAGAACUUGCCAAAUGCGCUGAAAGGUGUUGCAUGGCCAUCAUCAGUUAGUAUCUUGAGACGUCCCGUUAAGUCGGGUAACUAACAAGACCCUCUUCUAUAUUUGCUAACAUGCAAUCCGUUGUGAAUGAGCAAAAUAUAGAGACAGCUUUCGAAAGAAAGAGGAAGGUGAGGGCGACGGUAGGUCAGUACGACCCUAAUCCUCUGGGCUACACGCGAAUUGCAAUGGUAAAGGCAAUAGGAUGCCACUCCGAAAGGAGGAGCUAAUCCCCGAAUCUUUACCCUAGUUCGGAUCGAGGUCUGUAACUCGGCCUCGUGAAGGCGGAAUCCGUAGUAACCGCGUUUCAACAAAGCGCGGUGAAUACUUUCCUGCUCCU